RNAcentral lists this long non-coding RNA (310 nucleotides) under Octopus vulgaris (common octopus). The record is from RNAcentral. Lineage: Eukaryota; Metazoa; Mollusca; Cephalopoda; Octopoda; Octopodidae.
AAAGAAUGCAAUAAACAUUCAAAAGACACUGAAGACCAUCAACAAAAUAAUAGUGAAACAUUAAGAGACUAAUCUGUGCAGGAUGUGGGUCAACUUCAAAAAAGCCUGUGGUGUACUGCUGCAUUCUUGAAUUAUAGUAUGACUUUGAAUGUUCAGCAUAGCUGAAUAGGUCAUUAUUAGACAGAAGCAAAUGCCGGUCAUUUAUAUAUGGGAUGCAAGGUUAAAGGGAGAUAACUUUUAAAGUAUUUUCUGUUGUGUCUGGGUAGAGUUAUUUUCUUUUUGUGCCUUAUAAUAUAACACAUGCACCGGU